AAUGGGGGCAACCCUGAUCUAGCCAUGCCGCGUGAGUGAAGAAGGCCUUAGGGUCGUAAAGCUCUUUCAGCUGGGAAGAUAAUGACGGUACCAGCAGAAGAAGCCCCGGCUAACUCCGUGCCAGCAGCCGCGGUAAUACGGAGGGGGCUAGCGUUGUUCGGAAUUACUGGGCGUAAAGCGCGCGUAGGCGGGCUGUUAAGUCGGGGGUGAAAUCCCGGGGCUCAACCCCGGAACUGCCUCCGAUACUGGCAGCCUAGAGAUCGAGAGGGGUGAGUGGAAUUCCGAGUGUAGAGGUGAAAUUCGUAGAUAUUCGGAGGAACACCAGUGGCGAAGGCGGCUCACUGGCUCGAUACUGACGCUGAGGCGCGAAAGCGUGGGGAGCAAACAGGAUU
Molecule: ribosomal RNA, 392 nt
Filed under: uncultured Gammaproteobacteria bacterium
Lineage: Bacteria; Pseudomonadati; Pseudomonadota; Gammaproteobacteria
Description: bacterial SSU rRNA
Rfam family: Bacterial small subunit ribosomal RNA
Source: RNAcentral